UACGUAGGGGACGAGCGUUGUCCGGAAUUACUGGGCGUAAAGGGCGCGCAGGCGGUAUAUCAAGUCAGCUGUCAAAGACUGGGGCUCAACCCUGGUAUGCGGUUGAAACUGAUAUGCUGGAGUGCUGUAGAGGCAAGUGGAAUUCCCAGUGUAGCGGUGAAAUGCGUAGAUAUUGGGAAGAACACCGGUGGCGAAGGCGACUUGCUGGGCAGCAACUGACGCUGAGGCGCGAAAGCCAGGGGAGCAAACAGGAUUA
This 256-nucleotide ribosomal RNA is filed under the name uncultured prokaryote. Its description in RNAcentral is "partial 16S ribosomal RNA". It matches the Rfam family "Bacterial small subunit ribosomal RNA", at positions 524 to 780 of the family's 1533-position model. The record is from RNAcentral.